UCCAAAUUCAGGGUGGCAUUGGUUGAGUGUGCUACCCUGAUUUUUGGUGUAUGCUUUGGCAAUUUCUCGAGAUUGAAAGAAAUUUAUGUUUUCUUUAUCGGGUGUUGAAAAUAAAAUAUUUAUCAUAAAUUAAAAAAUGAUUUUAAAAAUUACGAAAUAUUAGAAUAAAAUGAUCUAUUUAACUUUCAAUAAAUAUUAUAAUAAAAUGGUGCUUAAUAAAAAUAGAGAGAUUUUUGAAAAUCUUGCAACAUAUGAGUUUAUACCGUGGGAUUUAAAUCUCGUGAUAUUUGUCACAGAAUCAAAUUCUGCUUUUCUUGUUCUAUCUCAGAUUAUUUUCUCAAAGUAGCUGUUCACAUGAAACUCAUCUGCUUCUGUUUCCACUUUCAGGAAGUGAGCCCGGGCUUUUUCAAACUGCCCCAUAGAUCCUCUACAAGGAGGGAUGAUCGAAGAAGUCUGGAGAGAGAUUUCUCUUUCUUAAUUUUAUAUGAGGGACUAGAGAAUAGGUGCUCUAGAGAGAGAGAGAGAGAGAGAGAGAGAGAGAGAGAGAGAGAUUUUCUAUUGGUAAUGAUAAAUUCUAUUAAAAGAGAGGAAGAUACAAAUAAUACAAGGAUAGCAGCUAUUGGCGAAGACUGUUGUGGAUGCAUUUCUUUCUUGUGUAGGGGAUUUUCUACGUUGUUAGA
Long non-coding RNA from Magnolia sinica, 680 nucleotides. RefSeq lists it as uncharacterized. The transcript has 2 exons. The record is from RefSeq and is a predicted model, not a curated record. Lineage: Eukaryota; Viridiplantae; Streptophyta; Magnoliopsida; Magnoliales; Magnoliaceae.